GGCGCAACUUAUUUUGAAUUUUGGGUCCCUAAUGCUCUUCAACUUUGUACUUGUUUAGCUUUAUAACUAUUUUGAUUUGAGCGUCACUGAUGAGUCUUAUGUAGACGAGAUUCGCGUCUGGCGUAUGAAAUUAUAUAAUCCUGGUACCUUUGAUAACUAUUUAUUGUGUGAAAAAUCAUGCGCAAUCAAUUCAUUGAAUAGACAGACCAUGGAAGUAUUAUUUUUAUCAUUUUACUUCCAUGGACAAACCAAAGCAAUAACAUAAUACAAGGAAGCAAUACAAGAUGUGGCCAAUGCUCUUAGUCUUAUCAUCCAAUCCCAAUAUACUUCUGCCUGUCAUUUUAACACAAUUAAACAGUCAUCGAAUGAUUCACAUUACAUCAUAUAUUUGAACUCAACUUGUUAUUGAUCUAUGGAACAAUAUAUGCAGACAUAAUAUACAUGUUGCGCUAGACACUGACUUACACAUAUUUGAAUAUACAUUUUAACUUUUAAUCAAUUAUUGAAAGGAAGGACUAGUGGAAUCAACUCCUUUAUAACUCACCUGACCUGAAAGGUCAAGUCAGCUUUUCUUAUCACUUGGCGUCCAUCGUCUGUUUUGGUCCGUUCACUUACAAAAAUCUUUCUCUGAAACUACUGGGCUAAAUUUAACCAAACUUGGCCACAAUCAUCAUUGGGGUAUCUAAUUUAAAAAUUGUGUCUGAUGACCCCUCUUGCCAAUCAAUAUGGCAACCAUGGCUAAAAAUAGAAUAAAGGGAGUAAAUGCAGUUUAUGGCUUGUAUCUCUGAAACUUAAGCAUUUAGAGUUUAUUUGACAUGGGGGUAAAAAAAAAAUUUAGGUUAAGAUCUAUCUGCCCUGAAAUUUUCAGACGAAUCCGACAACCUGUUGUUGGUUUUUUUUAGAUAAAAUACACAAUUUACUGAUCGGCAAGAAGGAAAGGAGUAGAUCCGGUAAGAGCUGAUUUUAGCCUCAAAUUUCAGAUUCAUCAUUUGAAAGAUUUUGGACACUUUUUAAACACUUAAGUGUCUAUUUCAAUUGAUUUGAUUAGUUUUUUUAACAG
RNAcentral lists this long non-coding RNA (1060 nucleotides) under Mytilus galloprovincialis (Mediterranean mussel). The record is from RNAcentral. Lineage: Eukaryota; Metazoa; Mollusca; Bivalvia; Mytilida; Mytilidae.